RNAcentral lists this long non-coding RNA (214 nucleotides) under Mytilus galloprovincialis (Mediterranean mussel). The record is from RNAcentral. Lineage: Eukaryota; Metazoa; Mollusca; Bivalvia; Mytilida; Mytilidae.
CAAAAAUGUACAUCAGUUCAGCAAUAAUGGAUGUCAUACUAAACUCCAAAAUAUAUGAAAGAAAAUAAAAAAAAAUAAAUAUCAUACUAGAAUAACAAAGGCCAGAGGCUCCUGAUUGGGACAGGCGCAAAAACGUGGCGGGGUAAAACAUGUUUGUUGAUAUCUCAAUCCUCCCCUAUACCUCCACCCAAUGUAGAAAAAACAAACACACAAC